GGCAGCGGCAACUCAGUGGUUAAGGCUUUUGACUACUGAUCAAAAGGUUGUGAUUUCAAAUCCCAGAACCACCAAGCUGCCA
This 82-nucleotide transfer RNA is filed under the name Pangasianodon hypophthalmus (striped catfish). RNAcentral's name for it is "tRNA-Ser". Lineage: Eukaryota; Metazoa; Chordata; Actinopteri; Siluriformes; Pangasiidae. The record is from RNAcentral.